UAAGUGAAUCGAAGGAUGGCAACGCGUCUCCGAAGGCGUGCGUGCAGACAUCGCACACCCCACAUGCAUAUUGCACGCGCACACGGGCGUCCCUGCCAGGGCACUACCCUUUUAUCGGAGAGUUGACGCGCAGGCAUGUGGGCAUGCGUGUCUCCAUGUCAAGUGCAGCAGACGCUGCACGCCGCCGCCGGUGCGAGUCGAAGUCGAGGCGGAGCCUGAAACACGGUUCCCCACAUGCCCCGCGUGAUCGCGCACGCCCUCUCCACCUACACACGCGCAGGAGCACGCAGGCGCAGCCAAUCCGCCCCUCUCCCCCCCCGUCCCCUCCGUCUGUCGGUCUGUCGCAUAGGUCUCUCUUCCUUUGUCUACAGCGGGGGAGGGUACACACGAGCACUGCCCUCUUCAGCGAGCCCACACACGCGCAUCGCCACCUCUGACCACCGCCUCCCCUCAUAAAAGCGCUCCCGCACACAGCCACCAUCAUGCAGGUUCUGUCGGAGGCGACCCCUAUGACCAACGGCGAGGUGUAUGCCUUGCUGCGCCGUCGCCGCGAUGAGCGAAACGCGGCGCGGCACCCGCCCUUUGGACUGCAGCCCGUGCUCGCCGACAGCCACCAGCGUGUGGCGGUCGCCACCGGCGCUGCGGCAGCAACCGCGGUAGCGCCAUCAGCGGCGGCGUCGGCGUCAGCUAUAUCAAGAGCAGCGUCGGUGACGAGCCACAGCAGCGUCGGACAGCAUAGCGGCAGCAAGGCAGCGCCGGCAGGGGCCAUUGAAAGUGCUGCCUCCGCAGCAGCGGCGUCGACCGCCAGUAUUCUCGCCUCACCUUCCUCCGUGCACCUGGUCGUGCUCCUCACAGAGGUGACCAUGCUCAACUACAUUGCAAACCACUCCUCUCUGCUGCUUGAAUCGGCAAGGCCCACGCCGGCUGGCGUGCGAGCGCGCACGUGUACGCCGCGCGACGUGUAUGGGCCUACGUCGGUGUACAGCCGGGUCGUCGGCUCCGAAGGUCGAAGUGGUGCCGCUGUAGGGGCGUCGGCAACGGCCGCGGACUCGCUGUUGGAUGCAGAGUUCGUGUCAUCUUGCUACGCCAAGUUGGCCUCCCACCGUCCAGGGACACGCGGCCACGUCCACGCCGUCGAGGAGCUGCUGGAGCACUUCGAAGAGGCGGGACGUGCGCGGGAGCGCUUCUACGCGGCAGGGGUGCGCCGCGCGGUGCAGCAACUGUGGCGCCGGCGGCUGUGGGUGCCGGCGGAGGGCCCGUGCCCGCCGCCAUCUCCACCGCUCGCAACGACAGCACCGUCGCUGAGCAACGGAAGCGCGCUGGUGAAAGCCGAGCCGGUCGCCGAGGAGGACGUCGACGGCACAGCGGAGGCGGUGCAGAGGUCGUCGCAGGACAAGGUAGCCAUGCAGAGCGGUGCUGGAGAAACGAACAGCGACGCUGAAGGUGCGCAGCCCACCAACGCGUCGCAUCUGGUGACGCCGCUGCUGCUCGAGCCUACUCCGCUAUGGGGCCCAGCGGCGAGGAACGGUGGUGGCAAGGGUAGCGCAGAUGGCGGUGCGGCUACCACGAGCACGGCGCACAGUCCGCUCAGCUAUCACGCUCAGCUACAGCUGCAGCAGGCGAGUCGGUCUCUGCUGUCGGAGGCCGAAGUGCUUCAACUCGUCGUAGGACGGCCGCAGCGUGCACUGGACGUGUACCGACUGCUGGACGACGUCGAUGGCCGUCUGCAGUACAGGGAAGAGGCGGUGAACGCCUUCGUGGAGGCUGUGACUGGCGUCUUCGCCGAAUGAGGAGUGCGGGGCGGAAGGCGGAGGUGAUGGGCAGGCGCCCAGCACCCCAGAAAUGCAACGGGCCGCGCGCGUAUGCGUGAGCGUGCAUGAUGCCGUCUGCCUGCGCCUGUUUGAGCAACUCAGAGUAAAGGCUAAGCCGAUGCACGAUAAGACG
This 1944-nucleotide unclassified non-coding RNA is filed under the name Leishmania donovani. RNAcentral describes it as "gene:LdHU3.03.0860(CDS-product:hypothetical_prote in_conserved)". Lineage: Eukaryota; Euglenozoa; Kinetoplastea; Trypanosomatida; Trypanosomatidae. The record is from RNAcentral.